RNAcentral lists this microRNA precursor (97 nucleotides) under Manihot esculenta (cassava). RNAcentral's name for it is "mir-393 microRNA precursor family". It matches the Rfam family "mir-393 microRNA precursor family". Lineage: Eukaryota; Viridiplantae; Streptophyta; Magnoliopsida; Malpighiales; Euphorbiaceae. The record is from Rfam by way of RNAcentral.
AGAGGAGACAUCCAAAGGGAUCGCAUUGAUCCUAAGCUCUUCUUCUCUCCCCGUAUUUUAAUCUUUUGGAUCAUGCUAUCCCUUUGGAUUCCUCCUU